GUCACACCCUCUCUCCCCGCUCUCUCCUACUCUCUUUCUCUCUCUCUCUCUACCUCUCUGUUUACUAUGCCCCUCCCUAUUCCCUCUCUCCCCUCAAAAUCCCUUCUUUGUAAGGGAAUCGGGCUGCGGCGGUAGUGACGGCAAUAAUGGUGGUAAUGGCAACGACGACAGCGAUAGCUUGGCGGUUAUGGUGACAAUGACGGGUUUGGCCGCGACGGUGGUGAUGGAGG
RNAcentral lists this long non-coding RNA (230 nucleotides) under Ananas comosus (pineapple). RNAcentral's name for it is "long non-coding RNA (ACOM_LNC031467)". The record is from RNAcentral. Lineage: Eukaryota; Viridiplantae; Streptophyta; Magnoliopsida; Poales; Bromeliaceae.